Molecule: non-coding RNA, 45 nt
Organism: Schistosoma margrebowiei
Lineage: Eukaryota; Metazoa; Platyhelminthes; Trematoda; Strigeidida; Schistosomatidae
Source: Rfam
AUCCAUCUGACGAGUCCCAACUAGGACGAAACGCGCAUCCUGGGU